GAUGAACGCUGGCGGCGUGCCUAAUACAUGCAAGUCGAGCGAAGCGGGGCCGGGUGAGUAACACGUGGAUAACCUCCUAUAAGACUGGGAUAACUUCCUGAAACCGGAGCUUAACCCGAUACUUAUCGAUGGAUCCGCGCUGCAUUAGCUAGUUGGUAAGGUAACGGCUUACCAAGGCAACGAUGCAUAGCCGACCUGAGAGGAUGACCGGCCACACUGGAACUGAGACACGGUCCAGACUCCUACGGGAGGCAGCAGUAGGGAAUCUUCCGCAAUGGGCGAAAGCCUGACGGAGCAACGCCGCGUGUGUGAUGAAGGUCUUCGGGUUGUAAAACUCUGUUAGUAGGGAGGCGGUACCUAAACAGAAAGCCACGGCUAACUACGUGCCAGCAGCCGCGGUAAUAC
Molecule: ribosomal RNA, 405 nt
Filed under: uncultured bacterium
Lineage: Bacteria
Description: partial 16S ribosomal RNA
Rfam family: Bacterial small subunit ribosomal RNA
Source: RNAcentral